GAAAGGGGUUGUAGCUGGCCAAAAAACAAGGCAUGUGCACACCCUGCUCAAUCCACUCUCAAACCCCUGUGCACUUGUUGUAGGCUAUGGUCGGAUAGCUGGCUUCGGUCGGUUUGAAAGCCUUGUCUAUGUUUAUUACGAACGCUUCAGUCAAAGAAUGUCACAUAGCGUCUAACGCAUUAUAUACAACUUUCAGCAACGGAUCUCUUGGCUCUCGCAUCGAUGAAGAACGCAGCGAAAUGCGAUAAGUAAUGUGAAUUGCAGAAUUCAGUGAAUCAUCGAAUCUUUGAACGCACCUUGCGCUCCUUGGUAUUCCGAGGAGCAUGCCUGUUUGAGUGUCAUGGAAUUAUCAACUUCUACAACUUGUGUUGUUGAAGCUUGGACUUGGAGGUCGUGUUGGCUUGCAAAAGUCAACUCCUCUGAAAUGCAUUAGCGUGACUCUUACGGAUCGCCUUCAGUGUGAUAAUUAUCUACGCUGUGGUGUUGAAGUAUUUAAUGUCAUGCUUCUAAAUCGUCCGCAAGGACAGUUACUUGACGAUCUGACCUCAAAUCAGGUAGGACUACCCGCUGAACUUAAGCAUAU
RNAcentral lists this ribosomal RNA (583 nucleotides) under Basidiomycota sp. Park82. RNAcentral's name for it is "eukaryotic LSU rRNA". The stretch from base 188 to 341 matches the Rfam family "5.8S ribosomal RNA". The record is from RNAcentral. Lineage: Eukaryota; Fungi; Basidiomycota.